RNAcentral lists this ribosomal RNA (363 nucleotides) under uncultured eukaryote. Its description in RNAcentral is "partial 18S ribosomal RNA". It matches the Rfam family "Eukaryotic small subunit ribosomal RNA", at positions 592 to 976 of the family's 1831-position model. The record is from RNAcentral.
CAAUAGCGUAUACUAAUGUUGUUGCAGUUAAAAAGCUCGUAGUUGAACUUCUGGUAGGAGUGUCCCGGCCUUUUUGUUUUUACAAAUUGUAUGCUGUGUGACAUCUCUGGCCAUCCUUCUUCUUUGUUUAAAGAAGAUCUUUCACUGUAAAAGAAUUAGGGUGUUCAAAGCAAAAGUUUCUUUGGAAUAUAUUAGUAUGGGAUGAUAAGAUAGGCUCUAGAUGCUAUUUUGUUGGUUUGCACAUUUAGAGAAUGAUUAACAGGGACAGUUGGGGGUAUUCGUAUUUACAUGUCAGAGGUGAAAUUCUUGGAUUUUGGAAAGACGAACUACUGCGAAAGCAUUUACCAAGGAUGUUUUCAUUAA